GCAUAUCAAUAGCGGAGGAAAAGAAACCAACAGGGAUUGCCUCAGUAACGGCGAGUGAAGCGGCAACAGCUCAAAUUUGAAAUCUGGCUCCUUCGGGGUCCGAGUUGUAAUUUGUAGAAGAUGCUUUGGGUGUGGCCCUGGUCUAAGUUCCUUGGAACAGGACGUCAUAGAGGGUGAGAAUCCCGUAUGUGACUGGGUGCCCACGCCCGUGUAAAGCUCUUUCGACGAGUCGAGUUGUUUGGGAAUGCAGCUCAAAAUGGGUGGUAAAUUUCAUCUAAAGCUAAAUAUUGGCCAGAGACCGAUAGCGCACAAGUAGAGUGAUCGAAAGAUGAAAAGCACUUUGGAAAGAGAGUUAAACAGUACGUGAAAUUGUUGAAAGGGAAGCGCUUGCAAUCAGACUUGCGCGCCGCUGAUCAUCCCGGGUUCUCCCAGGUGCACUCGGCGGCGCUCAGGCCAGCAUCGGUUCGGGUGGUGGGAUAAAGGCCUUGGGAAUGUAGCUCCUCUCGGGGAGUGUUAUAGCCCUCGGUGCCAUGCCGCCUACCUGGACCGAGGACCGCGCUUCGGCUAGGAUGCUGGCGUAAUGGUUGUAAGCGACCCGUCUUGAAACACGGACCAAGGAGUCUAACAUCUAUGCGAGUGUUUGGGUGCUAAACCCAUACGCGUAAUGAAAGUGAACGUUGGUAAGAACCCUUUAGGGUGCAUUAUCGACCGAUCCUGAUGUCUUCGGACGGAUUUGAGUAUGAGCAUAGCUGUUGGGACCCGAAAGAUGGUGAACUAUGCCUGAAUAGGGUGAAGCCAGAGGAAACUCUGGUGGAGGCUCGCAGCGGUUCUGACGUGCAAAUCGAUCGUCAAAUUUGGGUAUAGGGGCGAAAGACUAAUCGAACCAUCUAGUAGCUGGUUCCUGCCGAAGUU
Molecule: ribosomal RNA, 912 nt
Filed under: Helicodendron microsporum
Lineage: Eukaryota; Fungi; Ascomycota; Leotiomycetes; Helotiales; Helotiaceae
Description: LSU rRNA
Rfam family: Eukaryotic large subunit ribosomal RNA
Source: RNAcentral